This 360-nucleotide ribosomal RNA is filed under the name uncultured eukaryote. RNAcentral describes it as "SSU rRNA". It matches the Rfam family "Eukaryotic small subunit ribosomal RNA", at positions 594 to 945 of the family's 1831-position model. The record is from RNAcentral.
AUAGCGUAUAUUAAAGUUGUUGCAGUUAAAAAGCUCGUAGUUGGAUUUCUGUUUUGGAUGUCCGGUCCGCUCCCUCUGGGAGUGUGUACUUAUGGAUGUUCGAGGCAUUUUUUGUGAGGCUGCCUUUCUGCCAUUAAGUUGGUGGGUUGGUGGGCUUGCAUCGUUUACUGUGAAAAAAUUAGAGUGUUUAAAGCAGGCGUUUGCUCAUUUGAAUACAUUAGCAUGGAAUAAUAAGAUACGGCCUUGGUGGUCUAUUUUGUUGGUUUGCACACCAGGGUAAUGAUUAAUAGGGACAGUUGGGGGUAUUCAUAUUUCAGCGUCAGAGGUGAAAUUCUUGGAUCGCUGAAAGAUGAGCUUAGG